GGGAAAGAGAGAAGCUUCAGCUCGGAGGGAGGAGGAAAGAGAAGUCUGAUUUCCUUUUUUGCUUGCUUCGGGGAAGAAUAAACAGCGGAGGACGGAGGAAAAGAGAAGCUCUUAUUCUUAUACUUGCUUGUAUUCUUAUACGUGCUUGCCCCGGUGCGGUAGGGAGAUGAAGUGCUGGCGGAGCUCGAUGAGGUCCUGGUGCGGCGUGCCGAAGCAGCCGGCGCCGAUGAUGCCGGGGAGCACGAUGACCGUGAGCUUGGCGUUCCGCGCGAAGCGCUGGAUCUGCCGCAUCCGGCACUGUUCGUGCAGCUCAUUCUGCUCUCAAAUGGAGAAAGCUCAUUCACCAUUCAUCCGCUAGAGAUGGAAGAAUAUAGGUAGGUCCCGAACAGGAGAGCGUGCGGCCAGGGAUCGAUCAGAUGAAGGGAUAUGACUAACGGCAGGACCGUCUUUUCUCGUGGCCGGUGAAUAAAGAGAAAAGAGAAAAGAGAGAAAUUGGAGAAAAAGAUGAGAAACACCUAAAAUGAAAGAAUUCGCGUGCACGGUGUCAAAUUCUAAAAGGUUUGCGAAUCGGAUGUCAAUUCUCGUGAGACGUGUGGAUUGAGUGCCAAAUUCUAAAAUUUUUCUUAUUCCGAGACCUCCGGCUCUGUAUUCAUCUGAAUCGGUUUCUUCCACCCUCUCUUGCACGGCGUCCAAAAAAACAAAUCGCGGCUCCCUGCUGCGAGAGGGACGGAAGAGAGGCGACCCUGAACGCCGCCGCCAACGCCACCACCACCGUAGGUUGUUGUCCAGGCAUUGGUUCCUCUUCAGGCCAAUUAGAGAGCAACAAGGGAGCAGCUUGUUAUAAGAUCAAAGUAGUGAAGAAUUGAGAUGCAAUCAGCACUAUUUACUCAACUGAUUAUGCCAAUGGCGAAGGUGCUUCCUUUUAUGAUGGAGAAAAUAUAUAUUAUUCUGUUAUUGCUGCACUACUUAGUAUGUUGUAAUCUUUUGUUGGUACUUGUAAGGGACCUGGAAGC
Panicum hallii is the source of this 1013-nucleotide long non-coding RNA. RefSeq lists it as uncharacterized. NCBI's taxonomy places the organism in Eukaryota, Viridiplantae, Streptophyta, Magnoliopsida, Poales, Poaceae. The transcript is spliced from 3 exons. The record is from RefSeq and is a predicted model, not a curated record.